RNAcentral lists this ribosomal RNA (495 nucleotides) under uncultured bacterium. RNAcentral describes it as "partial 16S ribosomal RNA". It matches the Rfam family "Bacterial small subunit ribosomal RNA", at positions 28 to 507 of the family's 1533-position model. The record is from RNAcentral.
GACGAACGCUGGCGGCGUGCCUAAUACAUGCAAGUCGAACGCUGAAGCAGGAGCUUGCUCUUCUGGAUGAGUUGCGAACGGGUGAGUAACGCGUAGGUAACCUGCCUGGUAGCGGGGGAUAACUAUUGGAAACGAUAGCUAAUACCGCAUAACAGUAGAUGUUGCAUGACAUUUGUUUAAAAGUUUCAAUUGCUUCACUUCCAGAUGGACCUGCGUUGGUUUUGCUAGUUGGUGGGGUAACGGCUCACCAAGGCGACGAGACAUACCCGACCGGGGAGGGGGGUCCGCCGACCUGGGAGGGGGACAGGGCCCAGACUGCCUCGGGAGGGCGCAGGAGGGAAACGUCGGCAAUGGGCGGAAGUCUGACCGAACAACGCCGAGGGAGUGAAGAAGGUUGUCGGGUCGGAAAUGUCUGUUUUAAGGGAAGAACGAGUAUGAGAGUGGAAAGAUCACACUGUGACGGUAACUGACCAAAAAGGGACGGCUAACUACGUG